GUGCUCUUCCGAUCUGAUAGGUUUUGCUGCCAUCGAACACUCGCCUACACCUGGCGAGCCACAACACUCUCUUGCUAAGAUGGAUCAGGAGAUUGAAGACGUAGGGAGUUGUGUUACCCUGGGGGAAAAGAACGUGGAGAAUGAUGUUCUCACCUGACAGGAAAGGGACGCCGAGGAGGCGGCUACCCAGCCCCAGAGCUUCCUGGCAACAGGACAGUAAAAGAACCGGAUCAGUUCUUUUGCCCGACACCUGCAGUUGCCCGACUACUAUUUUGCCAGACAACUUCAGUUGCUCCGACAAUUCAUUUGCCCGAAAAGUACAGUCUAUUGCAAAAAGGUUUUCACUUAGGUCAAAGUUGUUCGGCUUCCUUAC
Molecule: long non-coding RNA, 373 nt
Filed under: Androctonus crassicauda
Lineage: Eukaryota; Metazoa; Arthropoda; Arachnida; Scorpiones; Buthidae
Source: RNAcentral